UACGUAGGGUGCGAGCGUUGUCCGGAAUUACUGGGCGUAAAGAGCUCGUAGGUGGUUUGUCACGUCGUCUGUGAAAUUCCGGGGCUUAACCUCGGGCGUGCAGGCGAUACGGGCAAUACUUGAGUGCUGUAGGGGAGACUGGAAUUCCUGGUGUAGCGGUGAAAUGCGCAGAGAUCAGGAGGAAUACCGAAGGCGAAGGCAGUCUUCCAAGCCGUUAUUGACGCUCAACUGCGAAGGUGUGGGUAUCAAACAGGAUUAGAUACCCGUGUAGU
RNAcentral lists this ribosomal RNA (272 nucleotides) under uncultured prokaryote. Its description in RNAcentral is "partial 16S ribosomal RNA". It matches the Rfam family "Bacterial small subunit ribosomal RNA", at positions 524 to 794 of the family's 1533-position model. The record is from RNAcentral.